Molecule: ribosomal RNA, 484 nt
Filed under: uncultured bacterium
Lineage: Bacteria
Description: partial 16S ribosomal RNA
Rfam family: Bacterial small subunit ribosomal RNA
Source: RNAcentral
AUUGAGCGCUGGCGGCAGGCCUAACACAUGCAAGUCGAGCGGAUGAAGGGAGCUUGCUCCUGGAUUCAGCGGCGGACGGGUGAGUAAUGCCUAGGAAUCUGCCUGGUAGUGGGGGAUAACGUCCGGAAACGGGCGCUAAUACCGCAUACGUCCUGAGGGAGAAAGUGGGGGAUCUUCGGACCUCACGCUAUCAGAUGAGCCUAGGUCGGAUUAGCUAGUUGGUGGGGUAAAGGCCUACCAAGGCGACGAUCCGUAACUGGUCUGAGAGGAUGAUCAGUCAAACUGGAACUGAGACACGGUCCAGACUCCUACGGGAGGCAGCAGUGGGGAAUAUUGGACAAUGGGCGAAAGCCUGAUCCAGCCAUGCCGCGUGUGUGAAGAAGGUCUUCGGAUUGUAAAGCACUUUAAGUUGGGAGGAAGGGCAGUAAGUUAAUACCUUGCUGUUUUGACGUUACCAACAGAAUAAGCACCGGCUAACUUCGUG